Musa acuminata AAA Group (dessert banana) is the source of this 1301-nucleotide long non-coding RNA. RefSeq lists it as uncharacterized. The transcript has 4 exons. The record is from RefSeq and is a predicted model, not a curated record. NCBI's taxonomy places the organism in Eukaryota, Viridiplantae, Streptophyta, Magnoliopsida, Zingiberales, Musaceae.
UCUAAAACCCUAACGGAGGAAUCAAAUCUCACGAGGAAACAUUCGAAGUCGAGCGACUCUCUCCUAAGAAAUGUAAUCAACAGUGGUUGAUGAUUGGUGAUCGGCAAUCGACAAUGGCUGAUGAUGGCAAUCGACGACCGACAAGCAUCAUCUCCCCUUCGAUGACAUAUCUUAUGCUUAGAAGGGGAGGAGGAACAUGACAUCUCUUACUCCAGGGGUACUAAUAGUGGUUCUGAAGAACUUAACUACUGACAUAAAAAUAUGUAGAGAAUACUGGUCAGUGCUUCUUCAAGUAAUCAACAUUGUGCCUGCUUUGUCUGGCUCGGAGCUUUAGCCAGACCAUGGUUUCUUCAUAAAGAUCUCCGAUCAUUCACAUUCCACAUAUGUUUCAUUAUCUAAAGAUGACAAUGACCUGAGCUUAAUGAACAAGCUUUAGCUUUUGGGCAAUUCAUCUAUAUUUACAAAGAAGAGUUGUGGAUGCCAUCCCAUGGGACUCUCCUCCUGCUAGCCUAAUCAACCCUGGGAAGGGAAUGGUUGAAAGAAAAGAAAUAGCUUUUCUAGUAGCAGCUGAGGCCCAAAUAGAAGCCACUGCAACUGAGACAUUUAGCUGACCCCAUUAUACAAAUAAUAUUCACCUCUCUUAAGGGAGAUUCAGGAAUUAGUUAUCACCCUCAGCACUUUCUUUAGGGUCUCAAUUGAAGGCAGUUUAAUAAGAUCCAUAACUGUUCACUUUUAAAAUGUCAGGAAUGGGAAAUCUUUCUCCUGUUACAUGAAUCAAAUAUUUCAUUUCAAGACUGGUGCAGCAGCAACUGGAAAUGAUGCAAGUUUUAUUUGUUUCUGUUGCAACUAGAAAGACAAUUUUCAACUCUAUGCUGUUUCAGUUGCAUUGCAGCUGUAAAUGUAUAAGAAGAAGAUGAGAAAGGGAAGAUGAAGAUGAGAAAGGGAAGAAAGCCUCCAUAAUCCUUCUCCAACAACAACUGAGAUCAACAAGUAAGGAUUACUCUUCUUUCAACCAACUUAUGAUAGAAUUCUACAACACAGAACCAUCAUAAAAUCAACAACUUUAUCGUCCAACUUCAUCUUUGUCAGAAUCAACUCCUGCCCUUAGCAAAGAAGGGUGUUGUUAGGAUUGGUGAGAGGAGAAAAAAUAAAGAACCAACAACAAGCGUUUUGUUGUGAUCUGUUCAUAUUUCUGGUGCCAGAACUUCUGAGCGAUUAUCGCCCGAGAAUUUUUUUUGUUUUAAUUCUCUAUUUUAAGUACUUUAAAUUCAUGAUAUGAGUAGAUUAAUUCUCCUUUCUAA